RNAcentral lists this long non-coding RNA (823 nucleotides) under Callithrix jacchus (white-tufted-ear marmoset). Its description in RNAcentral is "lncRNA (ENSCJAG00000081492.1)". The record is from RNAcentral. Lineage: Eukaryota; Metazoa; Chordata; Mammalia; Primates; Cebidae.
GUUCUUGUUCUAGCAGGAGCAUGUGGAAAGCUUCUGAAUGAAUUUGGACCGUGGCUCCAAAUUGAACCUCAAACUAACCCACUUGCCUGGUGUGGGGCUGUGUAGCUUUCUAUCCUGUGGAAACUUUGCUCUGCAAAUGGCUGCCCUCCUGCCUCUGGCUAUUUCCGUGUGAUUCUCAAGCUCAUUCCGUCAGGAAGAAUUCUCUAGUUUCUUCUGUCCUUCAUUUGGAUUUGACUUCCUGCCUGGUGACAGACCCACUGUCCAGCCUGUAUCACCCAUGGAUUUACCACCAAAUUCUAAGGCUCGCUGAUCUGUAUCUACAAACCUUGGAUACUCUCAGCUUCAGUACCGACAAAUAAAAACAGCAGAAAGAGCAGGAGGGAGACUGACUCCCAGAAGGUCUGCUAACAAAUCUCUUGUUCUCCCUGAGCCCAUGAGACCUGAAUGUUUACAUGCGCUUACUAUAGUGAAGGCUGCUCUCUCCCAUCUCUCAGGCAGACACGUUCAGUGUUGGUGAGCCACCAGGGACUGCCAGCUGUUGAGAGCCUCCUGUUGAAGCAGGCCACAGAGAAGUCUUUAAUUUCCCUUCCCUAAAAGGAGGUCAGAAGACUCCUGUUCAUGAGGGACCCUGCCUUACGCCCAGAGGGCCCACCAGAAGCAGUUUGCUUUCAGCCAUCAAGGCCAGUGAUACACCUUCUACCUCACAGGUAUGUAAACUGUCCAGUCCUUAGUGACAGUGUAGUUUGCAGGGAUCUUGAUUGCCCAUUGCCCUUCCCUUCAAUAAGAUACCAGUCCAUUAUAUUGAUGACAUUGUACUGACUGG